This 2238-nucleotide ribosomal RNA is filed under the name terrestrial metagenome. Its description in RNAcentral is "bacterial LSU rRNA". It matches the Rfam family "Bacterial large subunit ribosomal RNA", at positions 296 to 2042 of the family's 2925-position model. The record is from RNAcentral.
GGUAAGCUGACAAAGAUAUCUUUAUAUAUUAGUAGAAAAUCCCUGGAAAGGGAUACCAUAGAGUGUGAUAGUCACGUAUACGAAAAUAUAUAAAGAGCUUUCUAAUUUCUUGAGUACCACGAAGUAAGUGAAAUUUUGUGGGAAUCUACCAAAACCACUUGGUAAGGCUAAAUAUUUUUUGCGACCGAUAGUGGACAAGUUCCGUGAGGGAAAGGUGAAAAGCACCCCUGUUAGGGGAGUGAAAUAGUACUGAAACCGUAUGCUUACAAACAGUCGGAGUCCCGCUAACUUAUAGUUUGAAGAAAUUGAUUCAUAGCUAGUUAAUAGCUGAUGUGUAUACUUUUAAGUAUGUAUUUUGUAUAUGUAAUUAAAGCUAGAAAUAGAAGAAAGGCAGAGUAUUAUAUUGGAGUAUCCUCAGAUUUAAUCCGAAGACUGCAAGAACAUAAUUCUCCAUUCAACACUGGAUAUACCAGAGAUAAUAAAUGGGAAAUAGUUUAUGUAGAAGGAUACUUAAAGAAACAUAUUGCUUAUGAUAGAGAGAAGAAAUUAAAACAAUAUGGCAAUGUAUGGCACUCAGUUAUGAAAAGAGUUAAGAGUCAAUUCGAAUUAUAGGUUAGCGGGAUGACGGCGUGCCUAUUGAAGAAUGAUCCUGCGAGUUCGUUGUGUGCAGCAAGGUUAACCAUGUUUAUUGGGGAGCCGGAGCGAAAGCGAGUCUGAAUAAGGCGAUUCUAGUUGCAUGCACGAGACCCGAAACCAGGUGAUCUAACCAUGAGCAAGGCGAAGCAGUAGGAAACUACUGUGGAGGCCUGAACUCGUUAAUGUUGCAAAAUUAUGAGAUGACUUGUGGUUAGCGGUAAUAUGCCAAACGAACCUGGUUAUAGCUGGUUCUCCCUGAAAUAGCUUUAGGGCUAGCGUCUUGAUUUAAACUUUGGGGGUAGAGCACUAAUUAGAUUUGAGGCUCGAAAGGGUACUCAAUCUAGUUAAACUCCGAAUACCAUUGUGAAUAUCAAGGCAGUUAGACGUAUGGAGCUAAGUUCAUAUCGUCGAGAGGGAAACAGCCCAGAUUACCGGAUAAGGUCCCAAAGUUCUACCUGAGUGGAAAAGGUGGUAGAGUUUCUUGGACAGCUAGGAGGUUAGCUUAGAGGCAGCUAUCCUUUAAAAAGUGCGUAAAAGCUUACUAGUCAAGAGAUUCUGCGUCGAAAAUUCAGCGGGGCUGAAGGUAGACACCGAAGCCGUAAUUUUAUCCCGCUAACUUAUAGUAUGAGAGUAGAGUUGUGAAUAACAAUCUUUCGUACUCUAGGUUAGCGGGAUGGGAGGUAAGGGAGCGUUCUAUACAUGAUCAACCUAGCAGUUGAUAAUUAGCUGUGAAGGUGGCCCGUAAGGAGCUGCUGGAGCGUAUAGAAGUGAGAAUGCAGGAAUGAGUAACGAAAAACAGGUGAAAACCCUGUUCGCCGAAUGUCUAAGGUUUCCAUGGCUAUGUCAGUCAUCCAUGGGUUAGUCGGUCCUAAGGGGAGGCAGAAAUGCGUACCCGAUGGACAACGGGUCAAUAUUCCCGUACCGCUAACAUUUCGCGAUGGAGUGCAGGAUUUGAAAAUGCAAGCCCCUCAUUGGUUUGGGGUGUAAGCAACGAGUUAGCUUUCCCAGGUAAAUCCGGGAAAGUGUUUUCCACUUCGGUGGAAGAAAGCGAGUUGUGAUGCAAAGGUGAUCUUCGGAAAACCGAUUUGUUGGAUUAAAUUCUCAGGAAAAACUUCUAGCUUUGAUUGUCUUCGGACAAUCGUAAAAAUGUUGGUGACCGUACUGCAAACCGACACAGGUAGACUGGUGUAAAUGCACCAAGGCGUACGAGUGAUGCGUUGUUAAGGAACUCGGCAAAUUAACCCCGUAAGUUAGCGAGAAGGGGGGCCUUCUAUCAUGAAUAUUUAUUUAUUGGUGGUAAUGAAGGUGGCACAGAAUAGGGAGGAGCGACUAGUUAACAAAACUACAGGUGCUUGCAAACUCGUAAGAGGAUGUAUAAGUGCUGACACCUGCCCAAUGCCAGAAGGUUAAGGAAGCUUGUUAAUCUACUGCUAGAUGCACUUCGGUGCUCUAGUGGUGAUGAAGCGGGUGACCGAAGCCCUGGUCAAUGGCGGCUGUAACUAUAACGGUCCUAAGGUAGCGUAAUACCUCGCCACUUAAUUAGUGGCUUGCUUGAAAGGUGUAACGACUCUUCCACUGUCUCGACAGCGCGCUCGGUGAAAU